Molecule: ribosomal RNA, 460 nt
Filed under: uncultured bacterium
Lineage: Bacteria
Description: partial 16S ribosomal RNA
Rfam family: Bacterial small subunit ribosomal RNA
Source: RNAcentral
CCUACGGGAGGCAGCAGUGGGGAAUAUUGCUCAAUGGGCGCGAGCCUGAACCAGCCAAGUAGCGUGAAGGAUGACUGCCCUACGAGUUUUAACCUUCUUUUAUAAAGGAAUUAAGUGCGGCACGUAUGCCUUUUUGUAUGUCCUUUAUGAAUAAAGAUCGGCUGACGCCGUGCCAGCAGCCGCGGUAAUACGGAGGAUCCGAGCGUUAUCCGGAGUGAUUGGGUGUAACGGGAGCGUAGAUGGGUUGUUAAGUCAGUUGUGAAAGUUUGUGGCUCAACCGUAAAAUUGCAAUUGAUACUGGUAGUCUUGAGUACAGGUGAGGUAGGCGGAAUUCGUGGUGUAGCGGUGAAAUGCGUAGAUAUCACGAAGAAUUCCGAUUGCGAAGGCAGCCUACUAAACUGCAACUGACACUGAUGCUCGAAAGUGUGGGUAUCAAACAGGAUUAGAUACCCUUGUAGUC